This 311-nucleotide long non-coding RNA is filed under the name Nicotiana benthamiana. Its description in RNAcentral is "long non-coding RNA (NBEN_LNC022126)". Lineage: Eukaryota; Viridiplantae; Streptophyta; Magnoliopsida; Solanales; Solanaceae. The record is from RNAcentral.
GAAAAAAAGUACGACCCAGUACAAUACCACUCAGUGGUGUCUGGGGAGGGUAGUGUGUACGCAGCCUUACCCCUACCCUGGGGUAGAGAGCCUGUUUCCAAAUAGACCCCCGGCAUAAAUCCCCAGAAUUUGCUCCUGGGGAGACUCGAACUCACAACCUCUCGGUUGUAAGUGACACUUACCCCUACCCUGGGGUAGAGAGGCUAUUUCCAAAUAGACCCCCGGCAUAUAUCCCCAGAAUUUGCUCCUGGGGAGACUCGAACUCACAACCUCUCGGUUGUAAGUGAGGGUUGGUUACCAUCAGACCAAGC